AUUGAACGCUAGCGGGAUGCUUUACACAUGCAAGUCGAACGAGUGGCGGACUGGUGAGUAAUAUAUCGGAACGUGCCCAGUAGCGGGGGAUAACUACUCGAACGAGUGGCUAAUACCGCAUACUAUUUGAACGGCCGAUAUCUGAUUAGCUAGUUGGUGGGGUAAAGGCUCCACAAGGCAACGAUCCGUAGCUGGUUUGAGAGGACGACCAGCCACACUGGGACUGAGACACGGCCCAGACUCCUCCGGGAGGCAGCAGUGGGGAAUGUUGGACAAUGGGGGAAACCCUGAUCCAGCCAUCCCGCGUGUAUGAGAAGGCCUUCGGGUUGUAAAGUACGUUCAGUCGGGAGGCGUUACCGACAGAAGAAGCACCGGCUAACUCCGUGCCAGCAGCCGCGGUAAUAC
RNAcentral lists this ribosomal RNA (405 nucleotides) under uncultured bacterium. Its description in RNAcentral is "partial 16S ribosomal RNA". It matches the Rfam family "Bacterial small subunit ribosomal RNA", at positions 30 to 526 of the family's 1533-position model. The record is from RNAcentral.